RNAcentral lists this ribosomal RNA (404 nucleotides) under Fusobacteriota bacterium. Its description in RNAcentral is "Fusobacteria bacterium partial 16S ribosomal RNA". It matches the Rfam family "Bacterial small subunit ribosomal RNA", at positions 355 to 776 of the family's 1533-position model. Lineage: Bacteria; Fusobacteriati; Fusobacteriota. The record is from RNAcentral.
UGGGGAAUAUUGCACAAUGGAGGGAACUCUGAUGCAGCGACGCCGCGUGAGUGAUGAAGGAAUUCGUUUCAUAAAACUCUGUUCUAUGGGAAGAAAAGGACUGUACCAUAGGAGAAAGCUCCGGCUAAAUACGUGCCAGCAGCCGCGGUAAUACGUAUGGAGCGAGCGUUGUCCGGAAUUAUUGGGCGUAAAGGGUGCGCAGGCGGCUUUACAAGUUGGAUGUGAAAUAUUGUGGCUCAACCACAAACGUGCAUCCAAAACUGCAAAGCUUGAGUUAAGGAGAGGUAAGUGGAAUUCCUGGUGUAGCGGUGGAAUGCGUAGAUAUCAGGAGGAAUACCGGUGGCGAAGGCGACUUACUGGACUUAAACUGACGCUCAGGCACGAAAGCGUGGGGAGCAAACAGG